RNAcentral lists this long non-coding RNA (366 nucleotides) under Nicotiana tabacum (common tobacco). RNAcentral describes it as "long non-coding RNA (NTAB_LNC015093)". Lineage: Eukaryota; Viridiplantae; Streptophyta; Magnoliopsida; Solanales; Solanaceae. The record is from RNAcentral.
GUAGAGUCAUCGACUUCGGGUUGUUCUGCACCCUCAUCUAGGGCUAAAAUAGCAGCUUGCUUGUUUUCGAGAACCUUCUGAAGAGAAAUUGAGAGUGAAACGUUCAUUGAAUUCUCGCGCUUUUCCAGGACUUCGAGGGAUGCUUUGGUUUCGGAAUCUAGGGUUUGGAUUUUAGCUUUUAAGGCUUCGGAUUUCUUGAGGAUGUCUUGUUCGAGUGAAGUGAAGUGAUCGGAGAGCUCUUUCCACAGGAGUGUGCAGCUUGUCAUUAAAGAAGUUUGGCGCUGGAAGUCGUCGAAACUCGGCGGCGGCGCCACCGAGUCGAGUUCGCCGCGAUCGGCGAGUGAACCCAUCGUUGUUGAAUUAUUG